GACGAACGCUGGCGGCGUGCUUAACACAUGCAAGUCGAGCGGUAAGGCCCUUUCGGGGGCACACGAGCGGCGAACGGGUGAGUAACACGUGGGUGACCUGCCCUCAGCUCUGGGAUAAGCCUGGGAAACCGGGUCUAAUACCGGAUAUGACUCCAUGACGCAUGUUGUGGGGUGGAAAGCCUUGUGCGGCUGAGGAUGGGCCCGCGGCCUAUCAGCUUGUUGGGGGGUGAUGGCCUACCAAGGCGACGACGGGUAGCCGGCCUGAGAGGGCGACCGGCCACACUGGGACUGAGACACGGCCCAGACUCCUACGGGAGGCAGCAGUGGGGAAUCUUGCGCAAUGGGCGAAAGCCUGACGCAGCGACGCCGCGUGAGGGAUGACGG
RNAcentral lists this ribosomal RNA (384 nucleotides) under uncultured bacterium. RNAcentral describes it as "bacterial SSU rRNA". It matches the Rfam family "Bacterial small subunit ribosomal RNA", at positions 28 to 414 of the family's 1533-position model. The record is from RNAcentral.